ACUAAGCGUACACGGUGGAUGCCCUGGCAGUCAGAGGCGAUGAAGGACGUGCUAAUCUGCGAUAAGCGUCGGUGAGGUGAUAUGAACCGUUAUAACCGGCGAUUUCCGAAUGGGGAAACCCAGUGUGAUUCGUCACACUAUCAUUAACUGAAUCCAUAGGUUAAUGAGGCGAACCGGGGGAACUGAAACAUCUAAGUACCCCGAGGAAAAGAAAUCAACCGAGAUUCCCCCAGUAGCGGCGAGCGAACGGGGAGGAGCCCAGAGCCUGAAUCAGUGUGUGUGUUAGUGGAAGCGUCUGGAAAGGCGCGCGAUACAGGGUGACAGCCCCGUACACAAAAAUGCACAUAUUGUGAGCUCGAUGAGUAGGGCGGGACACGUGGUAUCCUGUCUGAAUAUGGGGGGACCAUCCUCCAAGGCUAAAUACUCCUGACUGACCGAUAGUGAACCAGUACCGUGAGGGAAAGGCGAAAAGAACCCCGGCGAGGGGAGUGAAAAAGAACCUGAAACCGUGUACGUACAAGCAGUGGGAGCCUCUUAAUGGGGUGACUGCGUACCUUUUGUAUAAUGGGUCAGCGACUUAUAUUCUGUAGCAAGGUUAACCGAAUAGGGGAGCCGAAGGGAAACCGAGUCUUAACUGGGCGUUAAGUUGCAGGGUAUAGACCCGAAACCCGGUGAUCUAGCCAUGGGCAGGUUGAAGGUUGGGUAACACUAACUGGAGGACCGAACCGACUAAUGUUGAAAAAUUAGCGGAUGACUUGUGGCUGGGGGUGAAAGGCCAAUCAAACCGGGAGAUAGCUGGUUCUCCCCGAAAGCUAUUUAGGUAGCGCCUCGUGAAUUCAUCUCCGGGGGUAGAGCACUGUUUCGGCAAGGGGGUCAUCCCGACUUACCAACCCGAUGCAAACUGCGAAUACCGGAGAAUGUUAUCACGGGAGACACACGGCGGGUGCUAACGUCCGUCGUGAAGAGGGAAACAACCCAGACCGCCAGCUAAGGUCCCAAAGUCAUGGUUAAGUGGGAAACGAUGUGGGAAGGCCCAGACAGCCAGGAUGUUGGCUUAGAAGCAGCCAUCAUUUAAAGAAAGCGUAAUAGCUCACUGGUCGAGUCGGCCUGCGCGGAAGAUGUAACGGGGCUAAACCAUGCACCGAAGCUGCGGCAGCGACACUAUGUGUUGUUGGGUAGGGGAGCGUUCUGUAAGCCUGUGAAGGUGGCCUGUGAGGGUUGCUGGAGGUAUCAGAAGUGCGAAUGCUGACAUAAGUAACGAUAAAGCGGGUGAAAAGCCCGCUCGCCGGAAGACCAAGGGUUCCUGUCCAACGUUAAUCGGGGCAGGGUGAGUCGACCCCUAAGGCGAGGCCGAAAGGCGUAGUCGAUGGGAAACAGGUUAAUAUUCCUGUACUUGGUGUUACUGCGAAGGGGGGACGGAGAAGGCUAUGUUGGCCGGGCGACGGUUGUCCCGGUUUAAGCGUGUAGGCUGGUUUUCCAGGCAAAUCCGGAAAAUCAAGGCUGAGGCAUGAUGACGAGGCACUACGGUGCUGAAGCGACAAAUGCCCUGCUUCCAGGAAAAGCCUCUAAGCAUCAGGUAACAUCAAAUCGUACCCCAAACCGACACAGGUGGUCAGGUAGAGAAUACCAAGGCGCUUGAGAGAACUCGGGUGAAGGAACUAGGCAAAAUGGUGCCGUAACUUCGGGAGAAGGCACGCUGAUAUGUAGGUGAAGCGACUUGCUCGUGGAGCUGAAAUCAGUCGAAGAUACCAGCUGGCUGCAACUGUUUAUUAAAAACACAGCACUGUGCAAACACGAAAGUGGACGUAUACGGUGUGACGCCUGCCCGGUGCCGGAAGGUUAAUUGAUGGGGUUAGCGGUAACGCGAAGCUCUUGAUCGAAGCCCCGGUAAACGGCGGCCGUAACUAUAACGGUCCUAAGGUAGCGAAAUUCCUUGUCGGGUAAGUUCCGACCUGCACGAAUGGCGUAAUGAUGGCCAGGCUGUCUCCACCCGAGACUCAGUGAAAUUGAACUCGCUGUGAAGAUGCAGUGUACCCGCGGCAAGACGGAAAGACCCCGUGAACCUUUACUAUAGCUUGACACUGAACAUUGAGCCUUGAUGUGUAGGAUAGGUGGGAGGCUUUGAAGUGUGGACGCCAGUCUGCAUGGAGCCGACCUUGAAAUACCACCCUUUAAUGUUUGAUGUUCUAACGUGGGCCCCUUACCGGGGUUGCGGACAGUGUCUGGUGGGUAGUUUGACUGGGGCGGUCUCCUCCUAAAGAGUAACGGAGGAGCACGAAGGUUGGCUAAUCCUGGUCGGACAUCAGGAGGUUAGUGCAAUGGCAUAAGCCAGCUUGACUGCGAGCGUGACGGCGCGAGCAGGUGCGAAAGCAGGUCAUAGUGAUCCGGUGGUUCUGAAUGGAAGGGCCAUCGCUCAACGGAUAAAAGGUACUCCGGGGAUAACAGGCUGAUACCGCCCAAGAGUUCAUAUCGACGGCGGUGUUUGGCACCUCGAUGUCGGCUCAUCACAUCCUGGGGCUGAAGUAGGUCCCAAGGGUAUGGCUGUUCGCCAUUUAAAGUGGUACGCGAGCUGGGUUUAGAACGUCGUGAGACAGUUCGGUCCCUAUCUGCCGUGGGCGCUGGAGAACUGAGGGGGGCUGCUCCUAGUACGAGAGGACCGGAGUGGACGCAUCACUGGUGUUCGGGUUGUCAUGCCAAUGGCACUGCCCGGUAGCUAAAUGCGGAAGAGAUAAGUGCUGAAAGCAUCUAAGCACGAAACUUGCCCCGAGAUGAGUUCUCCCUGACUCCUUGAGAGUCCUGAAGGAACGUUGAAGACGACGACGUUGAUAGGCCGGGUGUGUAAGCGCAGCGAUGCGUUGAGCUAACCGGUACUAAUGAACCGUGAGGCUUAACC
Molecule: ribosomal RNA, 2893 nt
Filed under: Escherichia coli
Lineage: Bacteria; Pseudomonadati; Pseudomonadota; Gammaproteobacteria; Enterobacterales; Enterobacteriaceae
Description: bacterial LSU rRNA
Rfam family: Bacterial large subunit ribosomal RNA
Source: RNAcentral